AGAGUCGCGCAGGCGCCGUGCGAGUGCUGCAUUUUACCGCCGCAGAGGUGGAGGAUUGGGGAUCAGCAAGAACAAGUUCCCACCCCGCCUGCACCAGCCAUCACAGCUGUAGAAAAUUCCAUGCCGUGCCCCACCCUGAGCCAGUGGUAACGACUGUUUCUCACGCGGGACUGGAUUUCUAAAGCAUCACCAGAACCCUCCGCCAGAGCCCAGUGAAUAGGUGACCCAGAAAAGCUCUGAAGGUUUAGGGUGUGACACCACUGGAAGUUCCAUAAAUGACAUGGCAGCUCAAGAGGAUGAAGCAGUGAUGCCUCAAAGGCCCAGUGUCUGGCCCACAUCUACACAGGGAGUGGAAGAGGGUAGCAGGACCUACUCCUCAGCAGGCCAUGGGCAGCGAGUGGCCAGUGAGCUCCCACUCAGUCAAGCCUGCCCCCAGGGACACCAUCUGAACCAGCUGAAUUCCGGGCACUGCUUCACCUUGGAAAGGAGGCCACAGCUCUCUAGAGCAGCCCGCUGCUGUUCUUCCGCUGGAACCAUCUUGGUGUUUCCAUGCCUCUGCUGCCCCACUGUGCUUGACCUGACAUCCUUCAGGCCUCCAAAGGAUCAUUGCUUCCUCAUGGAAGACUUCCUGGCUCUCCAGGCCUGGGUGGUACUUCCUCUGGGCUCCCACCGCACCUGGGCAGGUCCCCCGUCUGUCCUGGUGCCUUGAUGCAGA
Long non-coding RNA from Bos taurus (domestic cattle), 715 nucleotides. The record is from Ensembl. NCBI's taxonomy places the organism in Eukaryota, Metazoa, Chordata, Mammalia, Artiodactyla, Bovidae.